CAUCACAAACCAUUUCUAUUAGACUCGUUGAAAAGGAUGUUAACCAUCAGGACUGGAAUACACAGAACUACCGAGUUACACUCUUCAGAAACCAGACAUCAUUUUCAUAUCUCGUGACACCAAUCUUCCCUUCCGAUUAUGGUCCUCGGAAGUUCAUGAGCACUUGGUGGUUUGUUUUCCAUCAUCACAUUAGCUUCUAAUUUACAAUAACUAUACACGUAAGAAAAACGUAAAAUCUAGUAUUUUAAAGUGCACACCACCUUCGGCGACGCCACAAAGAAUAGAUGAAUCGUCAGAACACAGAUUGGAAGCCCCAGCGAGCAUCCUCCCUAUGAAAGUCUCCACGUACCGACCGAGCUUAGAGAACGUUCAGGAAGACGGCGAUCGUCGAGUGUUAGUACACAACAAUAUAGAGCCACAGAUCGGAUCCUUCACUGUGAAAGAAGGCAGACCGUGUCGGCAUCGAAGCUUUUUUAAAUAGAACCUAAACGAGAGGAAUCAUAGGUACUCCGAUUCUCACCGGAGAUCAUGCGUUCUACGAGAGCAUUCUGCUCAGACGCUCUCAACAAAUACGAAGGCCGACCAACCGGAACACGCACGCUACGCCGGCGAUGGCGGCUACAGCCACUCAGUGGAAUGACGGGGACGACGCCUCGCAACCAGAAGAAAUUCUGAAUACACACCUUGUUACUGUGGGCACCAUAGCGAGCCGAGUGGCCAUGAAAGAAGAGGCGAGCACUGGCUUUCUGAGAUGCCUUUUUUCUCUUCAGAUCCUUCCCCGCCGCCGCCGCCGGGAACACCGGGCGAGAAAAUAAGAUCGCCGGAAGCGACGACAACGUACUUACGACGGGGCCGGAGCCGGCGGGGGAGUGAACCCCCUCCUCCGCCUCCGACGCCGCCGAUCUCGGAGGGAUCUAGGGUUUUAGUUCCUCGCCCUCUCGCUCCAAUGAUAUUUAUA
RNAcentral lists this long non-coding RNA (958 nucleotides) under Spirodela polyrhiza (greater duckweed). Its description in RNAcentral is "long non-coding RNA (SPOL_LNC002477)". Lineage: Eukaryota; Viridiplantae; Streptophyta; Magnoliopsida; Alismatales; Araceae. The record is from RNAcentral.